CCUACGGGUGGCAGCAGUGAGGAAUAUUGGUCAAUGGACGCAAGUCUGAACCAGCCAUGCCGCGUGCAGGAUGACUGCCCUAUGGGUUGUAAACUGCUUUUAUAUGGGAAUAAAAUGUGCCACGUGUGUCAUGUUGUAUGUAUCAUACGAAUAAGGAUCGGCUAACUCCGUGCCAGCAGCCGCGGUAAUACGGAGGAGCCGAGCGUUAUCCGGAUUUAUUGGGUUUAAAGGGAGCGUAGGUGGUUUGUUAAGUCAGUUGUGAAAGUUUGGGGCUCAACCGUGAAAUUGCAGUUGAUACUGGCAGUCUAGAGUAUAGUAGAGGUGGGCGGAAUUCAUGGUGUAGCGGUGAAAUGCUUAGAGAUCACGAAGAACACCGAUUGCGAAGGCAGCUCACUGGACUGUAACUGACGCUGAGGCUCGAAAGUGUGGGUAGCAAACAGGAUUAGAUACCCUAGUAGUC
This 460-nucleotide ribosomal RNA is filed under the name uncultured bacterium. Its description in RNAcentral is "partial 16S ribosomal RNA". It matches the Rfam family "Bacterial small subunit ribosomal RNA", at positions 338 to 795 of the family's 1533-position model. The record is from RNAcentral.